RNAcentral lists this ribosomal RNA (315 nucleotides) under Gilliamella apicola. Its description in RNAcentral is "bacterial SSU rRNA". It matches the Rfam family "Bacterial small subunit ribosomal RNA", at positions 1 to 314 of the family's 1533-position model. Lineage: Bacteria; Pseudomonadati; Pseudomonadota; Gammaproteobacteria; Orbales; Orbaceae. The record is from RNAcentral.
UUAAAUUGAAGAGUUUGAUCAUGGCUCAGAUUGAACGCUGGCGGCAGGCUUAACACAUGCAAGUCGAACGGUAACAUGAGUGCUUGCACUUGAUGACGAGUGGCGGACGGGUGAGUAAUGUAUGGGGAUCUGCCGAAUGGAGGGGGACAACAGUUGGAAACGACUGCUAAUACCGCAUAAUGUUGAGAGACCAAAGCAUGGGACCUUAGGGCCAUGCGCCAUUUGAUGAACCCAUAUGGGAUUAGCUAGUUGGUAGGGUAAAGGCUUACCAAGGCGACGAUCUCUAGCUGGUCUGAGAGGAUGACCAGCCACACU